UACAGAGGGUGCGAGCGUUAAUCGGAAUGACUGGGCGUAAAGGGUGCGUAGGUGGUUUUGUAAGUGUGUUGUGAAAGCCCCGGGCUUAACCUGGGAACGGCAACGCAUACUGCAGAGCUAGAAUAAGUGAGAGGAGUGUGGAAUUUCCGGUGUAGCGGUGAAAUGCGUAGAGAUCGGAAAGAACACCAGUGGCGAAGGCGGCACUCUGGCACUAUAUUGACACUGAGGCACGAAGGCGUGGGGAGCAAACAGG
RNAcentral lists this ribosomal RNA (253 nucleotides) under uncultured bacterium. RNAcentral describes it as "partial 16S ribosomal RNA". It matches the Rfam family "Bacterial small subunit ribosomal RNA", at positions 524 to 776 of the family's 1533-position model. The record is from RNAcentral.